CCUGAAUCCAGCAAAGGACAAAGUUGCGCACAUUGCGUCAGAUACAAUUUCUGCCAUUUACCAGGAAGAACUAGGGGAACCAGGAGAAGGGCCACCUGCUUGGGGCGGGCCGCCCAUCGUCUGAGAUGUGGGGAGCUCCUCUGCCCCGCCGCCCUGUCUGGGAUGUGAGAAGCGCCUCUGCCCGGCCGCGACCCCGUCUGGGAUCUGAGGAGUGUCUCUGCCCGACCGCCACCCCAUCUGGGAGCCAUGUAAGAUGUGCCUGCUUCUCCUUCACCUUCUGCCAUGAUUGGAAGUUUCCUGAGGCCUCCCCAGAAGCAGAAGCUGUUAAGCUUCCUGUACAGCCUGCAGAAGCAGAAGCAGAAGCAGAAGCAGAAGCAGAAGCAGAACUAUGAGCCAAUUAAAUCUCUUUUUCUUAAAAAU
Molecule: long non-coding RNA, 420 nt
Filed under: Homo sapiens (human)
Lineage: Eukaryota; Metazoa; Chordata; Mammalia; Primates; Hominidae
Description: HSALNT0334512
Source: RNAcentral